GGGUUCGAUUCCGGAGAGGGAGCCUGAGAAACGGCUACCACAUCCAAGGAAGGCAGCAGGCGCGCAAAUUACCCAAUCCCAAUACGGGGAGGUAGUGACAAUAAAUAACAAUAUGGGGCUCUUACGGGUCUCGUAAUUGGAAUGAGUACAAUUUAAAUCUCUUAACGAGGAACAAUUGGAGGGCAAGUCUGGUGCCAGCAGCCGCGGUAAUUCCAGCUCCAAUAGCGUAUAUUAAAGUUGUUGCAGUUAAAAAGCUCGUAGUUGAAUUUCGGAGUUUGUCGGUUGGUCGGGCUUCACUGUCCGCUCUGGCCUGAUGGAUUCCUACCUUCUGAAUAACCAGCAUGCUAUUAAGUUAGUGCGUUGGGGAAGCAGAGCUAUUACCUUGAAAAAAUUAGAGUGCUUAAAGCAGGCUUUUGCUUGAAUAGAUUAGCAUGGAAUAAUAAAAUAGGACGGCAUGGUUCUAUUUUGUUGGUUUCUAGGAUCACCGUAAUGAUUAAUAGGGAUAGUUGGGGGCAUUAGUAUUCAAUUGUCAGAGGUGAAAUUCUUGGAUUUAUUGAAGACUAACUUCUGCGAAAGCAUUUGCCAAGGAUGUUUUCAUUAAUCAAGAACGAAAGUUAGGGGAUCGAAGACGAUCAGAUACCGUCGUAGUCUUAACCAUAAACUAUGCCGACUAGGGAUCGGACGAUGUUAAUUUUUUAAUGACUCGUUCGGCGCCUUACGGGAAACCAAAGU
RNAcentral lists this ribosomal RNA (732 nucleotides) under uncultured Glomeromycotina. RNAcentral's name for it is "SSU rRNA". It matches the Rfam family "Eukaryotic small subunit ribosomal RNA", at positions 373 to 1104 of the family's 1831-position model. The record is from RNAcentral. Lineage: Eukaryota; Fungi; Glomeromycota.